RNAcentral lists this ribosomal RNA (495 nucleotides) under uncultured bacterium. RNAcentral describes it as "partial 16S ribosomal RNA". It matches the Rfam family "Bacterial small subunit ribosomal RNA", at positions 28 to 507 of the family's 1533-position model. The record is from RNAcentral.
GACGAACGCUGGCGGCGUGCCUAAUACAUGCAAGUAGAACGCUGAAGGAGGAGCUUGCUUCUCUGGAUGAGUUGCGAACGGGUGAGUAACGCGUAGGUAACCUGCCUGGUAGCGGGGGAUAACUAUUGGAAACGAUAGCUAAUACCGCAUAAGAGUAGAUGUUGCAUGACAUUUACUUAAAAGGUGCAAUUGCAUCACUACCAGAUGGACCUGCGUUGUAUUAGCUAGUUGGUGAGGUAACGGCUCACCAAGGCAACGAUACAUAGCCGACCUGAGAGGGUGAUCGGCCACACUGGGACUGGGACACGGCCCAGACUCCUACGGGAGGCAGCAGUAGGGAAUCUUCGGCAAUGGACGGAAGUCUGACCGAGCAACGCCGCGUGAGUGAAGAAGGUUGUCGGAUCGUAAAGCUCUGUUGUAAGAGAAGAACGAGUGUGAGAGUGGAAAGUUCACACUGUGACGGUAGCUUACCAGAAAGGGACGGCUAACUACGUG